RNAcentral lists this long non-coding RNA (10979 nucleotides) under Homo sapiens (human). RNAcentral's name for it is "HSALNT0028644". The record is from RNAcentral. Lineage: Eukaryota; Metazoa; Chordata; Mammalia; Primates; Hominidae.
UUCAACUGUUUGGUAACAACACACUGCUUUUCAAAACUGCUGUAAUAGUUUACAGUCCUCCGGCAGUUUAUGAUGGUUUUCAUCACUUCAAAACCUUGCCAGCACUUGGUACUUUCAGACUUUAAUUUUAUUCAUUUUGUGGGUGUGAAAUGGUAACACAAAUAUAAGUUAAUUUGCAUUUCUCCUGGUGUUAAUGACAUUAAGCAUCUUUUCCUAUUUUUAUAUCCCAUUCAGGUUUUCUAUUUUGUGGUGCCUGCUUUUUUUUCCCCCCUCAUUUUUCUCUUGGGCUUUUUGUUUUGUGAGAAUUCCUGUAACUGUAGUAUCUAAUCUCAUUAGGAAUUAUUCUAUCUCCUACAACUUCUAAGCGCAGUAACAGUGCAAGUCUGUGAUAAUCCUUCACAGGAAAAAAGAAAAAAAAAAGGGCACUGGAAGGUUUUGCUUUGCUGUUUCGUAUUAUUAAUUGGGAUAGUUUCAACUCCCACAAAGAGAAAAGCAAGGCAUGAGCACUCACCCAUGCUUAUUGACUUCCUAGGCUCUAAGUGCAGUGGGUAUUAACUGAGCGGAUUGACUACAAGAUUGCAGCCUUCUCUCGCCUUGCACUUCAUCACUCCAAACGAUGUCAUUCCCAAUGCAGGACUGACAGGCACUCAUGUCCAGCCUCGGCUCUAUAUCCCUAAUCCAUUAGUAUUGGCUCGAGGUCAGCUUUUUGAAGACAAGAUCAAUUCUAAUACAGUUACAUUGACUUCUUUGUCUAUCAGGGAGUAGAUAGAAAGUUGAGAGGGAUCAAUAAAUUCCAAACAACAAAUCAGAAAAUACAUAGCAUAUAGAAGCCAGUUAGCAUGCAUGGAUUUCUCUGUGCUAGUCAUUGAUUAAAAUAUAGGUAGUCCAGAAAUAAUGAGUUUGGAUCCAUACCUGAAAGCCAAAAUGGAAAUCAACUGUUCAAGCUACGUCUUUAGCCGAAUAGAAAAUAGGAAAUGACACAAUCCUUGGCCUUGGGAUCAAAAUCUUACAUUUUCUGGGUCAGUGUUACCAUUUCAGACCCAGUUUGUGUCUUUUUAUAAAGUGUUUUUCUCAGGCUAGUCUAAUUUCCUUGUACAGGGGAGUAUAUGGUCCUUUGUACAUAUUUUCCAGACUUCACAAAUUAUUGCCCUCUACCUGUCAACUCCACCAUCAUCAUAAAUUUCCUUCCUAUCUCUUUUCUGCCUAUAAAAACCAUCUUCAACCCAAGGCCCUGCCCAAAUCUGCAUCUUCUAUGAAGUCUUUCUUCAACUUCAUUGCUCUGAAUAGACACUCAAGCUGUCAAAAUCAUGUAGCACUUCUUAUCAUUAGCACUAAUUUGGAGCACGUCUGCCUUAUUAUUCCUGCCUUGCAUGGUUAGUUUUCUAUCUUUGUUUGUUACCCACCAAAAUAAGGACAUCUGAAAGUCUGGGACUGUGUCUGAGGUAUUGAUGUACAUCUGACACACAUAGAAUAUUGCCUGAAUAAAACUACAUGCCUAACUAAAACUCAUUCAUUCAUAUAGACAUGAGUUACUCUCAUACCUCUCAGUGACAACAUGUUAAUUAAUGUUGACCAAUCUCCUCCACUAAGAUCCUGCUCUCCUUUUAACCUGAGGAGACAAGCCUGGCAAUUUCUAUAUGUCUGUUCUGUUCUUCUUCCACCCAUCCAGACUGUAGUUUUAUCUUUUAAGGUGAGUAUUCUCUAUUAAACAAAGAGUAAUCAAGCUAAAAUAGCCUAUGUAGUCCUGCUGAAAUGUCUGACCUAACAAGCACCCUAUUUCUUCCUAAAGUCUAGUGACACAUCCUGGUAUCUGAGUUUCUUAAAUAAGAAACGCUAGUUUCUUAUUUCUAAACCUCAUUACAGAUAUCCUAAACCCUUCUAAAGGUAAGACAAUCAAGUUCUUGUAGAAUCUUGAGCUGUCUCUGAGUCUGACAACUUAUGGAGAUGAUCAUUAUUGUAAUAGUAAACAACUUCUGUAAAAAAAAAGCUUCAUAUAAUGCUUACUAUACACUAGGUACAAUUCCUAGUGCUUUAAAAAUAUUAACUCAUUGAAUUUUCAUUAAGAACUCCAUUAGGCAGGUACUAGUACUGUGCUGAAUAUUCCCAUCUCCCCCAUUCUUCACCUGUUUCAGCGCCCCCUGGAGCCUGACCUCAUCAACCAGUCUUCUUGGUUCUCUGACUCAUCAUUGAGUUCAGCCUGUAGGAGACACCAACAGUAUAUAGAGGAGAGAAAAGUCAAUAUUUUACUUCAUUAGCUGCCUUUCUGCCAGCUGCACUUUGACAAUACAUACUUUUCUCUGCCAAAGUCCUCAAUUCCAUAGCUAGCCCACUCCUACAGUUACAACUCUCCUGAGAUUCUAUUCACUACCCUCUCCCCUUGCCUCUUUAGACCUAGGCAGGCUAAGAUGUUUUUAUUAUCAAAGUACUUUACUGUUCGUUAUUAGUUUUUCUUAAGCCUGCUCACGAGUUUGUGAAUAUUCCUUUUACUAAAAUCUCUUACAUUGCCCCUUUUUAGUAUACUGUCUGACUGUCUGAACCCCAAUCAUUACAAGACAGGAAACUGAGGCACAACAAUAUUAAGUGCCUUGCUUAAGAUUAUACAACUAGUGAGUCACAGAGUAGCGUUCAGAUCCUGGCUGUGUGGUUCCACAAUAUGUUCUCUUAACAGUACACUAUGUUGUCUCUGACUCUGUGUGUCUCCAAAUGUAGCCAAACAACUGUCUUUCAACUCUGAGAUAGGCCUCCGAUUUCUCCUUGCCAGCCGAAGUCAAGAGUAAAGUAACGGCUUCUUCCUUUGCCAGGAGAGAAAGAUCAUCAGAUCUAUUUUAGAAAGAAACGUGGGCAGAGUUAACCAAGAAAAAGGAAAGUUUCCCUUUGGGCAGUGGUUUUCUUAAAAUCUUCUGGGUUCUACCGCUACCUGUUUUGCAUUUAAACAGGAGAGAUAGGAACAAAUUUAAGAAUAAUUAAGCAGAGAACAGAAUUAAAAACAAGAGACAAGUGAGUAAUAGCUAGAGCUGAAAGUCAAAAUCCCAACUGGACACGUCAAAGGCUCAACCAGUCCUUAGUUCAAACUAAAACCAAUAGUGAGCUUGAAUUUUAAUCUAGAAAGGGACUUUGGAAAGGAAACUCCCAUAAAAUUACUCAAGGUGGCUGAUGAGACAUUUCAUUGAAAUCCUACAAUAAAUCCCUCAAAUUCUACAGUUAAAUUACAAGGAACCACUGCAAAUCAGUUGCAAUGAUUCUUCCUGCAAUUCACCGACAAGACAAUAUUGUUUUAAUGCCACUAUGUAUUAAAUGCCUACUCUAGGUGAAGAACUUUAUCCACUUGCAUAUCAUUGUUAAAUUUCUCACAGCUUUGAAAAGUAUUUAAAAUUAGCCCCAUUUAUCAGGUAGGCAGUGGAGGAUCUACUUCUUAAAUUAUUUUCUUAAAAUCAAAAUAUGAGCACAGAACCAGGAUUCAAAAAUCAAGAAUGACCUUAAAUAUUGUGUGAUGGGUGUGUGUGUUAAUUAUUAUUAUACUCACAGAUGUAGAAGAACACAAUCAUUCCAAAUCUGAUGCCUUGGGAAAGAUGAAAACCACCGUGAAUUCUACUUAAGCUUUUUCCCAGUUCUACAGUACACGUGUCAUUUUGCCUGACUUUUGAGAUUAUGCAAAUGCAAUAAAAUGAAUUUUUUAUAGUUGCCUGAAAACAACCACAAGCGAGGUAAUAUUCAGCGUCACAGAUUUCCUCUUAUUCGCAUUACAACCUUUCAAGGUCAGCAUUCCUAUCUCAAAUUUUCAGAGAAGGAAAUAGUCACAGCAAGAUUAAGAACAAGACAGAUGGUAACAGAAGUCUAAAAGCCUGCGACAUCUUGAGUAAAAAGAAGAAAUGUAACUCCAAAACACCUCAGAAGACAGAAGAUUGGAAUGUAAUGUUUUUGUAUCCUGAAGGAAGAAGAAAUGGAAGUUGAGGUGUUCUUGAAGGUUUUACUAAAGGCUGAGAAAAGGACAGGAGAAGAAACUGGGUGCAGAAUUGGUUUUUCCCUCUUCUUCCUACCUGAGCCAUCCAGACAGCACAGCUGCCCCACAGGACAGAGGCUGCUGCCACAGAGCCUGUUCUUUGGAUUCUGGAAGACACGGUGUAGAAUGUAAUGCUAGGGGUUUGCAAGAAUAUUACUGACAUCUUCCCAAAUGAAACCUUCGCCCUUUAUUUUAAUCAUUGUUGCCUCUGUAUCUGAAGCAUCUAGAAGAAUGAACGGUACGGAGCAGACACUCAAGCAGUAUUGGCUGAAUAAAUAAUUGACUGACGCCUUAUCAAAUCAAUACCUACUAACUUUAGAAAUUUUGGAAAAUACAUGUGUGCAUGCACAUGUGCAAUAUUACCAUCCUGAUUAUCACCGUUAACAUUUCAGCGAAAUAUUUUUGGAAGAUUCCAUACUAACGUUGUUGAAUCUCCUAAAGAGAUCAUGAUGAUUGAAUCCUGGAAAAGUUAAUCAAGGCAGUCAAGAGGGCCAGGGACAGGCAAAAAACUGAUUUGAAAGAGAAGCUGAGAGGAAACUUUAGGAUGAAUCUUUUCAAAUAAGUUCAAGCAGGCCAAUAGAAUCAUUUACUCCAGAAAAUCUCACUAAGGUGCCUUCAGGAACACAGUAUGAAGGAAAAGAAGAUUGUGUCUGACUGUAUGAAAAAAAAAAAGCUAUAGGUCUUGAAGUUUCUGUUUAUGGCAGAUAAUAUAUAGCACUUGACCUCUCUCACCCUGUAAUCUAUGAAUCUCUAUUAUUUCCCUUGAUAUGUACCAGCCUCAAAUUUGAUUCUACUUUGACUGGCAGUGAGAGUUGUUCACACUCCAAUAUUUACAGAAAACAUCAAUUUCCAGAAGCCUAGAUAUUUAUGAAUUAUAUUAGAAUUAUUUGUGUGAUAUACAGCAAAUGUAUUGCUGACCUAGUUAGAAUUCUUUCAAAAGUGCUUUGUUAGUGCAUUUGAGAAGCUUAAUGUGCAGGGUGGCCUGUUUAGAGUAGGUUCCAAUUAAUUCAUCAUGUCCAGCUAUAGUGACAGCUACUUUAAGUUUUGGGCCAAGAACAAGUUUAUUCAAUCCCAAAUCUGUACAUCCAUUCUGCCUAGAAGGUAACCUCAUUGCACGUCACCUAGCAGUGGCCACAACCCCCUGGGCUGAGCAGAUUUCUUCCCCUUCUCCAACAACCUCCCUUUGCUCAGCACAUGUCUGUAUUCUCAUUCCUGAUCAUCGCUGAUCUACUCGAAACCUUAUUUCAAAGUCCCUAAUCCUGGCCAGGAGUGAUGGCUUAUGCCUGUAAUCCCAGCAUUUUGGGAGGCCGAGGUGAACAGAUCACUUGAGGCCAGGAGUUCGAGACCAGCCUGGCCAACAUGGUGAAAACCCGUCUCUACUAAAAAUACAAAAAUUAGCCAGGCAUUAUGGUACAUACCUGUAAUCCCAGCUACUUGAGAGGUUGAGGCAGGUGAAUUGCUUGAACCCGAGAAGUGGAGGUUACGGUGAGCAGAGAUCAUGCCACUGCACUCUAGCCUGGGCAACAGAGCAAAACUCUGUCUCAAAAAACAAACAAACAAAAACAAAAACAAAACAACCUGAUAUUUUCUUUGUUCAUUAUGAUCCCAUCCAUUUUCCAAUUAGGGAGUUUCCAAAAUUAUAACUUCUCAAAUUAUUGUGCUUUGACUAACCAGUAAAUAAAUCUCUAAGCAAAAGAAUGGCUUAAGAAAAUAUGUGUGCUAGGACAGGAAAGUGCCUGGCCACAGAGCCAAAGCUCAAAAAUAUUAAAACAAUAAAGAAGAAAAAUAGAAGAUCAAAUCCACAUCAGUAAUUCAUUCAACAAAUAUUAAUUGAAGGCUUACUAUAUGCCAGAUACUUGGGUCAGGGCUGAUGGUGAGCAAAACAGAUGGAAUCCCUGCUCUGAGGAAUCUCACAGUCUACGGUGGACAGAAAUAUCAGUCAAGUAACUGAAAGAGAAAUGUAAAAUGGCAAAAUGUACAACAGUUUAGAUGUGUUACUAGUAUGACAGUAUUUGAUUAUAAGAUGUGAUAUAGCCAUAAAAUAUUGUUAAAGGAGUAGCAUGUAUUAAGGCUAUGGGAAGAGGGGAGCAGCAUUGUGUGUUUGAACAAAGGAAGGAAGGCUGGUGUGGUUGGAACUGAGAGAGAUUAGCUUAGAGAGGAAAAUAGGGACCAGACAAUUCUGGGGCUUUUAAGACAUGUUCAACUACAUGCACAGGGAAGCGGAUUUACAUAGGAUCUCAAACUGACAUUUAGUCACAUGAUUUGCCUGCACAAUUUGUCCAUACAUAGUAUUGAUACUUCUUUUAUGUUAGAGAUGCUGAUGAAAGGAAAUGAUUGAAUGGAAAUGGGGUGAGCUAGUCUGUGUAUUGAACUUCAACACAAGGUCCUGAUAUGAGUGCUUCAAACCCAAUACCUUGCAUUCUUCUUCCCACCUGGUUUCUUUUUAUUUUUAAAUUUCAACUUUUAUUUUAGAUACAGCAGGCCCACGUGCAGGCUCAUUGCAUGGGUAUAUUGUGUGAUGCUGAGGUAUAGUGUACUCAUCCUAUCACUCAGUUAAUGAGUAUAAUACCCAUUAGGUAGUUUAGCAAUACAAUCCCACCUCCCUUCUGCCCCCUCAGUAGUCCCCAGUGUCUAUUGUUCCAAUAGUUAUGUCCAUGUGUGCUCAGUAUUUAGCCCCCACUUACAAGUGAGAACAUGCAGUGCUUGGUUUUCUGUUCUUGCGUUAAUUCAGUUAGGAUAAUGCCCUCCAGCUGCAUCCAUGUUGCCGCAAAGGACAUGAUCUCAUUCUUUUAUGGCUGCAUAGUAUUCCACGGUGUAUAUGUACCACAUUUUCUUUAAAAAAAAAAAUAGUUUUCUGUGAGUGAGUUUAGCAUGCAGUGAUGCACUGCAUCAUCUUUUGUUUGUGGUUGCAACAACGUGUCGCUGUACGCUGUCCUGUGGCGUUAGCUAGAGGUGGCCCCUUGAAAUUACUUAUGUCUCCCAGUUGAUAAUCACAGUAGAAUUAGCUGGAGACAUUCACAGAGAUGUCCUGUCACAUAUCUGAUUUUCAGGAGGUCUAGAGUUACUGUGGAGGAAAACAGAUUUGAAACUUGGUUUUGACUCAUGUCUGGAAAAGUAUAGAAAAAAUGCAAUUGGCAGAAUUCAGAUUUUAAAUGUGGCAAGAGCCUGAGGGUAUUAGAAUUCAAAAUUUUGGAGAGAGAGGGUGCUAUAGUAAAGCACAAAUACUGCAUCUUUUAGAGGCCCAUCCACUCUGCUUGAGACUCACACUUCAAAGAGGGGUUUGUGGAGGGUAUUCUCCAUUCGACAGAAAGGUGGAGCUGGAGAAACGUGAGAAAUAAAGCAGAUUAAGUCAAGGGGUCUUAAAAGUUAGGAAAGUAGGCUGGGCACAGUGGCUCAAGCCUGUAAUCCAGUGCUUUGAGAGCCCAAGGCAGGGGAAUUGCAAGGUCAGGAGUUCGAGACCAGUCUGACCAACAUGGUGAAACCCCAUCUCUACUAAAAAUACAAAAAUUAGCUGGGCGUGGUGGUGCGCACCUGUAAUCCCAGCCACUCAGGAGGCUGAGGCAGGAGAAUCACUUGGACACUGGAGGCAGAUGUUGCAGUGAGCUGAGAUUGUACCACUGCACUCCAGCCUGGGCAACAGAGUGAGACUCUGUCUCAAAAAAGAAAAAAAAAAAGAGCAAAAGAGUUAGGAAAGUAAUGAGGUUGGCCCAGAAGGACUAGAGAGACCUCAGCAGACAGAUCUCUGCAGACAGACAGACUCCCACAGCAAGGGAGGAAUGCCAGUGGGAGGGGAAGAAGGAGCAGGACUGAAGGCACAGACUAGAGCUUGGAGGACAAGACAAGGAAACCUGUCCUGUGUUCCUCUGGGUACUCCAAGGUACAUGAUCUGCUAUGUGAGCAUAGAAGCUGUUGAUCUAGUAUAUGCAGGAAAAAGUGGACAGUUGUCAUCCUCAGAACUUACCUGCUAGUGGGAUUUAUGGGACAACCCAGUUCUGUUGUGCUAGACUAUCUAGCUCUAUGCUUGAAACAUACAUAGAUAAUAUUGUUCAUGUGUGCGUAUAUGUGUGUGCAUGUACGUGUGUGUGUGUGCAUGGUCAGUUGUACCAGCAAGAGUAAUAUAAUGGUUCAAAGAUCCUCAUCUUGGAAAAUGCCUCAUGCUAUGAAGUUGAAUACUGCAUAUCACCAGAUAUCAAAGUCCCAUAAGAGGGUAAAAUCACCUUUAAAUUGAGAACUGAAGUUAUAUUUGUGGGCCCUCUUCUAUCUCCUUGUGAGACAUCCUUGUGCUAAUCUGGAUGCGAAACUUGCGUGAUAGGAGAAGACACGCUGAACCGGAAGGUCUGUGCAAUGUGGAAGGAGGUGUGCUUUUCAUGUCUCUUAUACUCAUUGAACCAUGAGUGCAAAAUGGCUUCACCUGUGCCACAGUACUUGGCGGGAUCAUGAUGUCAAUUAGGUUUCAUGAGACUCUGUAAAGCAAAUUUGUUUAUUUGCUCACUGAGUUAUCCAAAGACAAAAGGAGGACUGUGCCUCCAGCACAAUAAUUAAUUAUAAAGUCAUCACACAUAUUUCAUUAAUGUUGGCUGGCUUCUCAGAAGUCCCUCUCAGAGGGCAGGGGCCAUGUGUAAGUAUAACUCUAUUUAGCAUCUACUAAAAAGACACUUUGAUUGGAAUCUGUGUGAUCAUAAACUUCUUUACUAGGUUGUGUGUUCCUUGAAGGAAAGGAUUUUAUCUUUCAUUUAUUCAAUAAAUAUUUAUAACUUUAUAAAGUAGUAAAAAAUACCAAAAAUAUCUUCAUGCAGCUUAUGUUCUGUUUUUUAAAAUUUAAUUAUUUUUAAUUGGUAAAUAAUAAUUAUAUAUAUUUAUGGUGUGCGAUUUGUUAUAUGUAUAUAAUUGCAGAAUGAUUAAAUCAAGCAAUUAAAAUAUUCAUCACCUCACAUAUUUAUCAUUUCUUUGUGGUAAGAAUGUUUAAACCUAGAAGGACCCUAUAAAAUUGAACUUUAUACUCUUUCACCAGCAUCUCCCCUUUACCUAUUCACCUGUCCCCAGCUCCCCAGCCUGUGAUAAUGACCACUCCACUCGUUACUUCUACUGAGUUUGACUAUUUUAGAUUCCACAUAUAAGUAAGAUGAUGCAGUAUUUGUCUUUGUCUUAUUUCAUUUAAUGUAAUGUCCUCUAGAUUCAUCCAUGUUGUCACAAUGACAGAAUUUCCCUCAUUUUUAAGGUUGAAUUGUAUUCCAUUUGUGUAUAUAUACCACAUUUUCUUUUUUUAUUCAUCUUUUUCCUGAACACUUGGGUUGCUUCCAUAUCUGUGCUAUUGUGAAUAAUGAUGCGAUAAACAUGAGAGUUCACGUAUCUCCUAGACACAGCAAUUUCAAUUCCUUUGGUUUUCUACCCAGAAGUGGGAUUGCUGAAUCACAUGGUAAUUCCAUUUUUAAUUUUCUGAGGAGCUUUCAUACUAUGGCUCUGUAAUAACUAUACUAAUUUAUAUUCCCACCAAUAGUGUCCAAGGACUCCCUUUUCUCCACAUCUUGCCAAUACUUAUCUUUCAUCAUCUUGGUAAUAGCUCUUCUAACAGGGAAUAUUGUGGUUUCAAUUUGCAUUUCCCUGAUAAUUAGUAAUGUUGAGCCUUUUUUCACGUAUCUGUUGGUGAUAUGUAUGUCCCUUUUUUUGAAAUAUCUAUUCAGGUCUUUUCACCCACUUUUUUAAUCAGGUCAUUUGGGGGUUUUUUGCUAUUAAAUUCCAUAUAGAUUUGGAUAUUGAUUCCUAAUCAGAUGCAUUGUUUGCAAAUAUUUUCUCACAUGCUGUGGGUUGUCUUUUCACUCUGUUGUUUCCUUUUCAGAAACUUUUAAAUAUGAUGUAAUCAUCCCAUUUGUCUAUUUCUGCCUUUAUGGCCUGCACUUUUGGGGUAGUAUCCAAUAAUUCAUUGCUCAGACCAAUAUCAUGGAGCUUUCCUCUUUGUUUUCUUCUAGUAGUUUUAUAGUUUCAGGUCUUAUACAUCGAGUAUUUCUCUAACACUUCUAUAAUGCUGACUGUAUUCCAAGCGCAGGUCAAAGCUCUUGACAUAUAUUAACAACUUAAAGCAACAACCCAAUGAGGCAGGUACUAGCCUAUUUCUAUCUUAUAUACUGAAGGAGACUAAAGCAGAAGCAGUUUAAGUGUUGUCCAAGGGUGCACAACUAGUAAGUGGUGGUGCUGGAAUUUGUACCCUGGCAGUUUGGCUUCAAAGUCUACCUGUGUUUUCACUUUAUUAUCUCUUUCCUUUUAAAUUACCUUUUUAUUACUAGUGCCUAGCAUAGCUCUCUGCAAAGAAUAAAUGAGUGCUAAUUGAAUAAGCCAAUGAAACAAUGACAUUUAUCAUGCUAAUGGUGAUGAUGAUGAAAAGAUACUGAUAAUAAUGAUUUAUAUUAAUUGAGUUGCCACCCAUACUAUGUUUCAUAAUUUGUAAGCACCAUAUCAUGAGAUCUUCUUUUUUUUUUAAUUACUAUACUUUAAGUUCUGGGAUACAUGUGCAGAACGUGCAGGUUUGUUACAUAGGUAUACAUGUGCCUUGGUGGUUUGCUGCACCCACCAACCCGUCAUCUAGGUUUUAAGCCCCGCAUGUAUUAGGUAUUUGUCCUAAUUCUCUCCCUCCCCUUGCCCCCAACCCCGCAACAGGUGCUGGUGUGUGAUGUUCCCCUCCCUGUGUCCAUACGUUCUCAUUGUUCAACUUCCACUUAUGAGUGAGAACAUGCAGUGUUUGGUUUUCUGUUCCUUUGUUAGUUUGCUGAGAAUGAUGGUUUCCAGCUUCAUCUAUGUCCCUGCAGAGGACAUGAACUCAUUCUUUUUUAUGGCUGCAUGGAAUUCUAUAGUGUAUAUGUGCCACAUUUUCUUCAUCCAGUCUAUCAUUGAUGGGCAUUUGGGUUGGUUCCAAGUCUUUGCGAUUGUGAAUAGUGCUGCAAUAAACAUACGUGUGUAUAUGUCUUUAAAGGAGAACGAUUUAUAA